UAAUAAUUUUUUAUUAUAUUUUAUUUUUUUUUAUUUAAUUUAAUAAAAUUAAUUUUAUAAAUAUUUAUUUAAGUAUAUUUUAUAGAAAAAAUAUUUUAAUUUAUAAUGAAUAGUAUAGUAAUAGAAUAAUUGAUUUAUUUAAUAAGUAAAUUUAAUUUAUUGUACCUUUUGUAUCAGGGUUUAUUAAAAUAAAUUUAAAAAUUUAAUAUUCUCGAAUUAAAGAGAGUUAAAAUUUUAUUAUUUUUAUUGUGUUAUAAAUAUUUUUAAUAAAAUUUUAGUAAUGAAAUGUUAUUCGUUCUUUAAGAUAUCUAGUUUUUUAAGAAUUAAAUUUAAUUUAGUUUUAAAUUUAUAUAAUUUUAUUUAAUAAAUUUUAUAUAAUUUAAAAGUAAAAUUUUUAGGGAUAAGCUUAAAAAUUAAUUUAUAAAGUUUAAAUAUAUUAAUAAAAAUAAUAGGAUUAAAAAUUUUCAAUUUUAGUUAAAGUGUUAUAAUUAAUUUAUUAUGAAAUAUAUUUUUUUAUUUUUUAAAUUUUUUAUUAAAAUAUUAUAUUUAAUUAUUUAUAUAAGAAAUAAUGAUAAAAUUAGUAUUAAUUUAAUUAUAAGUAAAAUUUAAUUAAAGAUUAAAAUAAGGAAUUCAGCAAAAUAAUACUCACCUGUUUAUCAAAAACAUGUCUUUUUGAAUAUAAUAAAAAGUCUGACCUGCCCACUGAAAUAAUUUUGAAGGGCCGCGGUAUUUUGACUGUGCAAAGGUAGCAUAAUCAUUUGUCUUUUAAUUGAAGGCUGGAAUGAAUGGUUAAAUGAAGUAUUAACUGUCUCAUUUUAAAAAAUAUAAAAAUUUAAUUUUUUAGUUAAAAAGCUAAAAUUUAUUUAGAGGACGAGAAGACCCUAUAAAUCUUUAUUUAUUUUAUUAAAUUAAAUUUUAGAUAAAAAUUAUUUAUUAUAAUAAAAUAAAUUUUAUUGGGGUGAUAGGAAAAUUUAAUUAACUUUUUUUAUUAUAUCUAUUGAUUUAUAAAUAUUUGAUCCAUUAUUAAUGAUUAUAAGAUUAAGAUACUUUAGGGAUAACAGCGUAAUUUUUUUAGAGAGUUCUUAUCGAUAAAAAAGAUUGCGACCUCGAUGUUGAAUUAAAGAUUAAUUUUAAAUGCAGAAGUUUAAUAAUUAGGUCUGUUCGACCUUUAAAUCUUUACAUGAUUUGAGUUCAAACCGGUGUAAGCCAGGUUGGUUUCUAUCCUUAAUAAAAUAAAAUAUUUUAGUACGAAAGGACCAAAUAUUUAAAAUAUUUUUUUUAUUUGAAUAAUAUUAAUUU
This 1299-nucleotide ribosomal RNA is filed under the name Stenobiella sp. YW-2016. Its description in RNAcentral is "16S ribosomal RNA". The record is from RNAcentral. Lineage: Eukaryota; Metazoa; Arthropoda; Insecta; Neuroptera; Berothidae.